ACGGGUGAGUAACGCGUGGGAACCUACCUAUUGCUGCGGAAUAACUCAGGGAAACUUGAGCUAAUACCGCAUGUGCCCUUCGGGGGAAAGAUUUAUCGGCAAUAGAUGGGCCCGCGUCGGAUUAGCUAGUUGGUGGGGUAACGGCCUACCAAGGCGACGAUCCGUAGCUGGUCUGAGAGGAUGAUCAGCCACACUGGGACUGAGACACGGCCCAGACUCCUACGGGAGGCAGCAGUGGGGAAUAUUGGACAAUGGGCGCAAGCCUGAUCCAGCCAUGCCGCGUGAGUGAUGAAGGCCUUAGGGUUGUAAAGCUCUUUCGCCGGUGAAGAUAAUGACGGUAACCGGAGAAGAAGCCCCGGCUAACUUCGUGCCAGCAGCCGCGGUAAUACGAAGGGGGCUAGCGUUGUUCGGAAUUACUGGGCGUAAAGCGCACGUAGGCGGAUGUUUAAGUCGGGGGUGAAAUCCCAGGGCUCAACCCUGGAACUGCCUUCGAUACUGGGCAUCUUGAGUCCGAGAGAGGUGAGUGGAAUUCCGAGUGUAGAGGUGAAAUUCGUAGA
Molecule: ribosomal RNA, 557 nt
Filed under: uncultured bacterium
Lineage: Bacteria
Description: bacterial SSU rRNA
Rfam family: Bacterial small subunit ribosomal RNA
Source: RNAcentral